Molecule: ribosomal RNA, 526 nt
Filed under: uncultured bacterium
Lineage: Bacteria
Description: partial 16S ribosomal RNA
Rfam family: Bacterial small subunit ribosomal RNA
Source: RNAcentral
GACGAACGCUGGCGGCGUGCCUAAUACAUGCAAGUCGAACGAAGCUGUUUUAACUGGUGCUUGCACCGACUUAAACAACUGAGUGGCGAACGGGUGAGUAACACGUGGGUAACCUGCCCCAAAGCGGGGGGUAACAUUUGGAAACAGAUGCUAAUACCGCAUAAAAGUCAAAACCACAUGGUUUUGAUUUAAAAGAUGGCCUUUGUGCUAUCACUUCUGGAUGGACCCGCGGCGUAUUAGCUAGUUGGUAAGGUAAUGGCUUACCAAGGCAAUGAUACGUAGCCGAACUUAGAGGUUGAUCGGCCACAAUGGGACUGAGACACGGCCCAUACUCCUACGGGAGGCAGCAGUAGGGAAUCUUCCACAAUGGGCGCAAGCCUGAUGGAGCAACACCGCGUGAGUGAAGAAGGGUUUCGGCUCGUAAAACUCUGUUGUUAAAGAAGAACGUAUCUAAGAGUAACUGCUUAGGUAGUGACGGUAUUUAACCAGAAAGCCACGGCUAACUACGUGCCAGCCGCCGCGGUAA